This 402-nucleotide long non-coding RNA is filed under the name Apteryx rowi (Okarito brown kiwi). Its description in RNAcentral is "lncRNA (ENSARWG00000002270.1)". The record is from RNAcentral. Lineage: Eukaryota; Metazoa; Chordata; Aves; Apterygiformes; Apterygidae.
CUUCGCUGCAGGCAGGAAAGAAAGAAGAAAGAUCUGGGGAUAUAAAUAGCUUGACAAGCUGCUUUUGCCACAGGAGUGCUGCUCUGGCCAGCCUGGACGCGUGGAAGGGAAGGCCACCGACAAAUCUGCUGUAAAGCUGCUCUCAUUCGCAUUUAUCCAGAAAAACCCUAUUAGAUCAGCAAGGGUCAGCUGGCAAUGUGCAGACUCCAAGGUGACCUUCAGGCAUCCUCUGGGACCCUCUGAUGUGUUAAGAAUGAACCCCAGCUGCAGGGCUGGAAGGUAUACGGGCUUCGAGGCUGAAUAGUGACUAUUGCGAAUUGCGAAUACACAUUUCAGAGAAGCAAGGUAAGCGUCUCAAUUCUUUUGAAUAAAAAGCUUGCCUCUGCUUUAGCUUAUCCGUAC